Small nuclear RNA from Xenopus tropicalis (tropical clawed frog), 190 nucleotides. Its record names the gene U2. It matches the Rfam family "U2 spliceosomal RNA". From Rfam's summary of the family: U2 is a small nuclear RNA (snRNA) component of the spliceosome (involved in pre-mRNA splicing). Complementary binding between U2 snRNA (in an area lying towards the 5' end but 3' to hairpin I) and the branchpoint sequence (BPS) of the intron results the bulging out of an unpaired adenosine, on the BPS, which initiates a nucleophilic attack at the intronic 5' splice site, thus starting the first of two transesterification reactions that mediate splicing. NCBI's taxonomy places the organism in Eukaryota, Metazoa, Chordata, Amphibia, Anura, Pipidae. The record is from Ensembl.
CUUCCAUGUGAGCACAUUUUGGCUUCAAUAAAAAAAAUCUGUUGUUAUCAGUUUAAUAUCUGAUACGUCCCCUAUCUGGGGACCAUAUAUUAAAUGGAUUUUUGGAACAGGGAGAUGGAAGAAGAGCUUGCUCUGUCCACUCCACGCAUCGACCUGGUAUUGCAGUACCUCCAGGACCGGUGCACCUCUC